This 678-nucleotide ribosomal RNA is filed under the name uncultured bacterium. RNAcentral describes it as "bacterial SSU rRNA". It matches the Rfam family "Bacterial small subunit ribosomal RNA", at positions 87 to 763 of the family's 1533-position model. The record is from RNAcentral.
UAGAGAUAGUGGCGCACGGGUGCGUAACGCGUAACCAACCUACCCGAAUCUGGGGGAUAGCCCGCCGAAAGGCGGAUUAAUACCGCAUAAAACUGCAGGACGGCAUCGUUUAACAGUUAAAGAUUUAUUGGAUUCGGAUGGGGUUGCGUGCCAUUAGCUAGUUGGAGGGGUAACGGCCCACCAAGGCGACGAUGGCUAGGGGAGUUGAGAGGCUGGUCCCCCACACGGGCACUGAGAUACGGGCCCGACUCCUACGGGAGGCAGCAGUAGGGAAUAUUGGGCAAUGGUCGAGAGACUGACCCAGCCAUGCCGCGUGCAGGAUGAAGGCCUUCUGAGUCGUAAACUGCUUUUAUCAGGGAAGAAAAACAGGGGUGCGCCCUUGACUGACGGUACCUGAUGAAUAAGCACCGGCUAACUCCGUGCCAGCAGCCGCGGUAAUACGGAGGGUGCAAGCGUUGUCCGGAUUUAUUGGGUUUAAAGGGUGCGUAGGCGGCUGAUUAAGUCCGGGGUGAAAGCCCGUUGCUCAACAACGGAACUGCCCUGGAAACUGGUUAGCUUGAGUACAGACGAGGGUGGCGGAAUGGAUACUGUAGCGGUGAAAUGCAUAGAUAGUAUCCAGAACCCCGAUUGCGAAGGCAGCUGCCUAGACUGUAACUGACGCUGAGGCACGAAAGCGUG